UGGCUCAGUGGUUUAGAGCACUGACUGCAGAGGACCUGGGUUCAAUUCCCAG
This 52-nucleotide transfer RNA is filed under the name Neotoma lepida (desert woodrat). Lineage: Eukaryota; Metazoa; Chordata; Mammalia; Rodentia; Cricetidae. The record is from Rfam by way of RNAcentral.